GUGCGGACAGGGCUUGCUCGAGCUGUGCGGGAUGCGGAAUUAGCACCAACAGCAACCCGAGCGCGGAGCUCAUUCUUUGCACCCACCAGCCCUGGACUGAAAUGCCGAAACAUUAAAGCAUACGUUAUACAAAGUGGUUCCAAAUACUUUCCCCUAGUUGAGAUGCGUCUCCUAGCGCUAACCAAUAACACAAGUUUCCUGCCACUUCUUUCAAGAAGCGGGAUAAAUGUUAACAACUGUUUUCGGCUUCUGAGAAGCAAAGAUGCCUCCUCCCCUUCCACCGCGUUUCACGUGUGCGAGAACCUCGCGGAGAAAGCGCUUUGAAUUCAGAACUGCCAGGCGGGACAGACUCUAGACAUUUCAUCUGUCAACCUCCACAACCCCAAGGAAUUAUGAAACACGGGCGGAGUACAGGACCAGCUACAGGGAGCACCAGGGCCCUCUUCUGCUGUCCUGAAAGUCAGCCGAAGAAGAAGAAGAACGCAGUGCCCGGCCGCAUGCAGACAGCGGCCGCUCUAACACACUCCGCCUUUGCUGCGCAUUCCUCCUUCCUUCUUGCUUUUCCUAAACAACCCUGCAACAUUUGGCACACCAACACUGGCGAUAAUAUUCUAAACGAGCCCCAUAUGUAAACUGGCAAGUGUCCAACUUCUUAAUUACUUUCCUGCCUCUAUCUAAAAAAGAUCUAAGUAGCAAACACCACGCUACUGCAUGUGAAGCAAAGCCUCUGUUUAUAAAUGUUCGAAGCCGCCACCAAAACAAUACAUUGUUCUGCCUUCAGCACAAUGAAAAAGAGGUUUGGUCUGCUUUUUUUUUUUUUUUUUUGAAGAUAAAAGCUCUCAAGUGUUUGGAGCUAGAGCUAUGCAGCAGACUUGCAAGAACAUAGUCUGCCUAGAAAACCACAUGACAAAAUGACAUUUUUCUGGAACCUGAGUCGUGUGACACCGCAUCGAUACACCACCACUUAUCUUACCAGCUGCAUCUGCCAGUUGGCUAAAUGAGCUCCCUUCCAAAUGCAUACAUGAAUUAAAAAAUCCAUUUUCCCCUGCAUUUUUUUUUUUUUUUUUUUUUAGAAGGCCAGGGUUUUACUUCAGGACAAAUAAAUACGGAACCUGGACUGGGACUGGGCGGAACCCUGUCCUCUCCGCCUCAUUCUGCAGGAGCCCCCUCCACCCCUGACAACUCGUGCGAAUGUCUUCACUGCCAGUGAGGGAAGACCUGAGACCCAGCACGAGUUCCACCAGUUCCCGACCACAGAUCCUGCUCCAGCUCCGUAUGGCAAAGCACGAUGUCAGUCACUGCUAGCGGCCGGACUGGUUACCUCCCCACCUGCAACAAAUCGGAGCUGCCCUUUCCCAGGCCCUCAGCAGUCUGGCAGAGUGUUCGUUCUGGGGUCUUGCUGUGAAGCACCUGGGCCCAGCACACGGAAAACACUCAGUCCAAGGUCCCGCUGCUAUUUCAACAGACUGUCAAGCAGGGCCGUCUGGUAAGUGAAAACCGGUGCAUCUCUCGUUUUCAUUUUAGUUUUCCCCUGGUCACAAAUAAUACUAGCUCUCAACCAGUUUAGUAGCUUUAGGAUCUGGAGAUAGUCUGCGUCACCUCCGACAGUUCCCAUGUUUGUCUCGUGUAGGGUCUUCUAGCACCAUGUUGACAGAAGCCACCACGUGCCCAGCAGUUCGGGAAGCCGGGCCGUGCUAACCUAAGCCUGGGCAGGCGCAUGUGCGUGUGUGCGCACAUUUUCCCGGGUCCCUCCAGUGCAUCCUAUCUCAUCAAUUUAUCGGUUUACUCUCGCUCCAGUAAGUUUUUGUGCUACUUUAUUGCUUCACUGAGUAAUACAAACAGCGCCCUUCCCAGCCCACCUCCUCCUCCUGUGCCCCCGGCCACACCAAACCACCUUUACCACCCUUGCAGGCUCCUCCAUCACCUGCCUUUCACAGCUAAUCCAAAACUCAGCUCAGGUCGCCUCCACGGGAAAGCCUUCCUGGACCAUCCCCUGUCCUCGGUCUGGGUUAACGGGCAUGUGGCCCCCCACAGUUAUCUUUUAGUGGCCCCCCAGCCCACUUCGGCAUGACUAUUAUCCUAUUAUCCCUAUACUUGGUAGGCAUUCAAUAAACAUUUUGCCCAGUGACUUAAUGCAGAUAUGCUUGAAGAGACAACACGGGGGUGCCUGGGUGCCUCAAUUGGCUGGGUGACUGCCUUCAGCUCAGGUCAUGAUCCU
Mustela erminea (ermine) is the source of this 2218-nucleotide long non-coding RNA. RefSeq lists it as uncharacterized. The record is from RefSeq and is a predicted model, not a curated record. NCBI's taxonomy places the organism in Eukaryota, Metazoa, Chordata, Mammalia, Carnivora, Mustelidae. The transcript is spliced from 3 exons.